RNAcentral lists this microRNA precursor (56 nucleotides) under Pelobates cultripes (western spadefoot toad). The record is from RNAcentral. Lineage: Eukaryota; Metazoa; Chordata; Amphibia; Anura; Pelobatidae.
AUCAAUAGAGAGACACCCACAUAUAUAUGUAUAUAUGUGGGUGUCUCUCUUUUGAU